RNAcentral lists this ribosomal RNA (524 nucleotides) under uncultured bacterium. RNAcentral describes it as "partial 16S ribosomal RNA". It matches the Rfam family "Bacterial small subunit ribosomal RNA", at positions 28 to 523 of the family's 1533-position model. The record is from RNAcentral.
GACGAACGCUGGCGGCGUGCCUAAUACAUGCAAGUCGAGCGCAGGAAAUCGACGGAACCCUUCGGGGGGAAGUCGACGGAAUGAGCGGCGGACGGUUGAGUAACACGUAAAGAACCUGCCCUCAGGUCUGGGAUAACCACGAGAAAUCGGGGCUAAUACCGGAUGGGUCAUCGGACCGCAUGGUCCGAGGAUGAAAGGCGCUUCGGCGUCGCCUGGGGAUGGCUUUGCGGUGCAUUAGCUAGUUGGUGGGGUAAUGGCCCACCAAGGCGACGAUGCAUAGCCGCCCUGAGAGGGUGAUCGGCCACACUGGGACUGAGACACGGCCCAGACUCCUACGGGAGGCAGCAGUAGGGAAUCUUCCACAUUGGACAAAAGUCUGAUGGAGCAACGCCGCGUGAACGAUGAAGGCCUUCGGGACGUAAAGUUCUGUUGUAAGGGAAGAACAAGUGCCGCAGGCAAUGGCGGCACCUUGACGGUACCUUGCGAGAAAGCCACGGCUAACUACGUGCCAGCCGCCGCCGUAA